This 465-nucleotide ribosomal RNA is filed under the name uncultured bacterium. RNAcentral describes it as "partial 16S ribosomal RNA". It matches the Rfam family "Bacterial small subunit ribosomal RNA", at positions 338 to 795 of the family's 1533-position model. The record is from RNAcentral.
CCUACGGGUGGCAGCAGUGGGGAAUAUUGCGCAAUGGGCGAAAGCCUGACGCAGCGACGCCGCGUGAGGGAUGAAGGUCUUCGGAUCGUAAACCGCUGUCAGCAGGGAAGAACGGUCACUGUGCUAAUCAGCAGUGAAUUGACGGUACCUGCAAAGGAAGCACCGGCUAACUCCGUGCCAGCAGCAGCGGUAAUACGGAGGGUGGGAGCGUUAAUCGGAAUUAAUGGGCGGAAAGCGCUCGUAGGCGGUAUGUCAAGUCAAGGGUGAAAUCCCCGCGCUGAAAGUGGGAACUGCCUGUGAAACUGGCAAACUGGAGUGUGUGAGAGGAUAGUGGAAUUCCAGGUGUAGGAGUGAAAUCCGUAGAUAUCUGGAGGAACAUCAGUGGCGAAGGCGACUAUCUGGCACAUAACUGACGCUGAGGAGCGAAAGCGUGGGUAGCAAACAGGAUUAGAUACCCGGGUAGUC